AUUGAACGCUGGCGGCAGGCCUAGCACAUGCAAGUCGAACGGUAACAGGAAACAGCUUGCUGUUUCGCUGACGAGUGGCGGACGGGUGAGAAAUGUCUGGGAAACUGCCUGAUGGAGGGGGAUAACUACUGGAAACGGUAGCUAAUACCGCAUAACGUCGCAAGACCAAAGAGGGGGACCUUCGGGCCUCUUGCCAUCGGAUGUGCCCAGAUGGGAUUAGCUAGUAGGUGGGGUAACGGCUCACCUAGGCGACGAUCCCUAGCUGGUCUGAGAGGAUGACCAGCCACACUGGAACUGAGACACGGUCCAGACUCCUACGGGAGGCAGCAGUGGGGAAUAUUGCACAAUGGGCGCAAGCCUGAUGCAGCCAUGCCGCGUGUAUGAAGAAGGCCUUCGGGUUGUAAAGUACUUUCAGCGGGGAGGAAGGCAGUGAAGUUAAUACCUUCACUCAUUGACGUUACCCGCAGAAGAAGCACCGGCUAACUCCGUG
This 490-nucleotide ribosomal RNA is filed under the name uncultured bacterium. RNAcentral's name for it is "partial 16S ribosomal RNA". It matches the Rfam family "Bacterial small subunit ribosomal RNA", at positions 30 to 507 of the family's 1533-position model. The record is from RNAcentral.